Molecule: long non-coding RNA, 1340 nt
Organism: Cervus elaphus (red deer)
Lineage: Eukaryota; Metazoa; Chordata; Mammalia; Artiodactyla; Cervidae
Exons: 4
Source: RefSeq, a predicted model, not a curated record
UACUCCCAGGCCCAGACAGUUAAACCUCCUACCCCAUCCUCUGUUCUUUCCUCAUCUGCUGGGUAGCAUCUAGCUGAGGACCCUGAAGCCCGAGAUGAUAGCAGAGACAUGUGGGCCCCUCAGUCACCGCUUGGAGGACAGUCACCAGGAGACACCCAGGUGAGGUGUCUUACCGAGUCCCAGCAGGUGGCCCCGUUGGCCCAGAAGUUUACAAGAGGCUUUCAGGACGUGGGAAGUCACCACGUGGCAUGUUGAGGGUUCCCCAGGGCUUGUGGCUGUUGUCCAAGCCCAUUGGAAAGGAGUGCAAAGGCCAGGGUGUAUGUUCCAUAGAAGGGCUCUGGCUGGAACAUACCGGGACAUACACCGCCUGUCUCCAUAGGCAGAGGCCUGAGGUGCUGCUGCUGUAACUGCAUCAAAACCCAUCGGUUCAAGAACGAAAUGCCUGGCGUGUUGUCUGCCGAGAGUGCAGUGAUUUACCCCCUGGAAUUUUCUCUGGUCCGGGAAGUACAAGCCCUGCUAUUCCUUAGAGAGGAUGGUUUUUAGAAACAAGGUGCUCCCAUUUCUAGACCCUUGAAAACUAGGGAUAGAACAGAGGCUGGUUGAAACCAAAUGCCGCGGUUGCCAGGAAUGGCCGAGGAGACCCCUGCGGUUUGUGCUGGCCCCUCAGCGAGUGUCCAACAAAGGGAGGCCUCCCAGGGCCCAAGGUGCCACGCUGCUGGGAGCAGGUGCUCAUUGCUGCCCUGGAGAGCAGGGGCGACUUGGUGAUGCCCACGCACUGAGCUGUGCCUGCGUCCCCAGCUCUCAGCGAGUGUCCCCAGGUCCCGAGAUUAAGGACUGGGCCACAAGCAGCUUACGGAGACGGCGAUCCUGGACGCACUCACCCAGGGGUGGGGGCAGACAGGCGGGAGCUGGCAGCUGUCACAAGGCGCGACCACGAACGAGCCGCGGCCACUGAGGAUGUUGGACACGGUCGGAACAGGCCCGGGGGGAGGGUGAGAGCCCCAUGGCCUCACCGCAGCGGCAGCACUACCUGCACAAGCCGCCCUCGGGGGUCCAGGCCCGGGACGCAGGGGCAGCGAGCUCUCCCAUCACCAGCAAAACCACAGCGCAGUCUGAGCCCCGUGCGGGCCCCUCCCACACAGCGCUCUCUGUCUCUGGAGACAGCGGAGAUGGGAGGACAAGCAGGAGGCAGGGUGCUGCUCUUCCGAGUCUCACGGUGACUCACAGUCCUCGCACGCAUGGAGCUCGCGGGGAGGAAGGCGCAGCUUCACAUCCCUUAGAGCUGGAAUCUCUCUUGGCCUGGCCCAGGCCUGGCCUCUCUGGGUUCCAGACUCCCCACG